Molecule: ribosomal RNA, 1383 nt
Filed under: human gut metagenome
Description: bacterial LSU rRNA
Rfam family: Bacterial large subunit ribosomal RNA
Source: RNAcentral
CUUUUGCAUAAUGAGCCUACGAGUUACUCAUCACCAGCGAGGUUAAGUACUUCAGGUACGUAAGCCGAAGCGAAAGCGAGUCUGAAUAGGGCGUCAAGUUGGUGGUGGUAGACGCGAAACCUUAGUGAUCUACCCAUGGGCAGGGUGAAGGUUUGGUAACACAAACUGGAGGCCCGAACCGGUAAACGUUGAAAAGUUUUCGGAUGACCUGUGGGUAGGGGUGAAAGGCCAAUCAAACUGGGAAAUAGCUCGUACUCUCCGAAAUGCAUUUAGGUGCAGCCUCUGUUGUUUUGUUCUAGAGGUAGAGCUACUGAUUGGAUGCGAGGGCUUCACCGCCUAUCAAAUCCGGCCAAACUCCGAAUGCUAGAACAUGAAGACAGGGAGUGAGCCAGCGGGUGCUAAGGUCCGUUGACGAAAGAGGGAGAACUCAGACCAUCAGCUAAGGUCCCCAAUUAUAUGCUAAGUUGGAAUAAAAACGGGGUGGGACUGCUUAGACAGCUAGGAUGUUGGCUUGGAAGCAGCCAUUCAUUUAAAGAGUGCGUAACAGCUCACUAGUCGAGCGGUCCUGCAUGGAUAAUACGCGGGCAUAAGCAUAUAACCGAAGCUAUGGGAUUGUAGAUGAUACAAUCGGUAGGAGAGCAUUCCAUUCAGCAUAGAAGCAGUACCGUGAGGUAUUGUGGAGCGGAUGGAAAAGCAAAUGUAGGCAUAAGUAACGAUAAUGCGGGUGAGAACCCCGCACGCCGAAAGAUCAAGGAUUCCCCGGCAAUGUCAAUCAUCCGGGGGUAAGUCGGAUCCUAAGGGUAAGCCGAGUGGCGAUCCCGAUGGUAAACAGGUUAAUAUUCCUGUACUGAUCAUAACUGCGAUGCAGCGACGCAGAGGUGACACUGCUGCGUACUGACGGAAUAGUACGUUGAAACCCGUAUUCUUUGAUACCGGUAGUGAAGCACGCCGGUAGAGAUGAAAGGUGAUAGUACCGCAAUGCUUCGGUUGCGCGGAUAAUGCAGGUAAGCUGACUGCCAAGAAAACCUGCUAAGCUUCAGGUAAUGAUCAUCCGUACUGUAAACGGACACACGUGAUCAGGUAGAAAAUACUAAGGCGCUCGAGAGAUUCAUGGUUAAGGAACUAGGCAAAAUGGUCCUGUAACUUCGGGAUAAAGGACGCUCUUGUGAAAGAGCCGCAGAUAAUAGGCCCAGGCGACUGUUUACCAAAAACACAUGGCUAUGCUAAUUCGCAAGAAGAUGUAUAUGGCCUGACACCUGCCCGGUGCCGGAAGGUUAAGAGGAGAGCUCAGAGGUAACUCGAAGGUUUGAAUUGAAGCCCCGGUAAACGGCGGCCGUAACUAUAACGGUCCUAAGGUAGCGAAAUUCCUUGUCGGGUAAGUUC